This 208-nucleotide unclassified non-coding RNA is filed under the name uncultured fungus. RNAcentral describes it as "sequence contains ITS1, 5.8S rRNA gene". The stretch from base 160 to 208 matches the Rfam family "5.8S ribosomal RNA", at positions 1 to 49 of the family's 154-position model. The record is from RNAcentral. Lineage: Eukaryota; Fungi.
UUUCCGUAGGUGAACCUGCGGAAGGAUCAUUAUUGUGAACCGGGGCGGCGAGAGCCGUCCCAAAUCCCAAACCACCGUGAACAACCCGUCGCCGGCGCGAGCCGGGGGCAACCUUUGCACCUGUCGUACUACGUCCAGAAAGCAUAAACAAAAGAGUACAACUCUCAACGAUGGAUCUCUUGGCUCUCGCAUCGAUGAAGAACGCAGC